AAUCCGUCGAUUUUUUAAAUCAUGAGGGUUCAAGUCCCUC
This 40-nucleotide transfer RNA is filed under the name Carex longii. Its description in RNAcentral is "partial tRNA-Leu". Lineage: Eukaryota; Viridiplantae; Streptophyta; Magnoliopsida; Poales; Cyperaceae. The record is from RNAcentral.